GGAAGUAAAAGUCGUAACAAGGUUUCCGUAGGUGAACCUGCGGAAGGAUCAUUAUAAAAUUUUUCGUAUAUUUAUAUUUUUAAAUAUAUAAAAAAAAAAUGUAUUCAAAACCCACACGCCCUUGUAACCAAUUUUAAAAAAACAAUUAUGUCUCGCAUAUAAUAAUAAUUAAAAACAACUUUCAACAACGGAUCUCUUGGCUCUCGCAUCGAUAAAAAACGCAGCGAAUUGCGAUAAGUAAGGUGGAUUGCAAAAUUACGUGAAUCAUCAAAUCUUUGAACGCAUAUGGCACUCCCUGGCAAUCCGGAAAGUAUGCCUGUUUGAGGGUCAGUAAAUAACAAAUUAUCGCAAUCUUUGGUUGUGGAAUUGGGCCCUUAUUUCGAAAGACUUAUGGCCUUAAAUUUCCCCCGUGUGCUUAAUUCCAACCAAACGGAGCAAUUAAACAUUCUCUCGUUAGACGGAUUACUCACAAGCAUUACAAUUUUUUGGAUGACAAAAAGCACUCUCACGAGCGCGAAGCCCAAGAUCGUAAAUUUAAUUGACAAAUGACCUCAAAUCAGGCAAGAAUACCCGCUGAACUUAAGCAUAUCAAUAAGCGGAGGA
This is a ribosomal RNA of 603 nucleotides. The stretch from base 177 to 330 matches the Rfam family "5.8S ribosomal RNA".